AGGACGAACGCUGGCGGCGUGCUUAACACAUGCAAGUCGAGCGGUAAGGCCCUUCGGGGUACACGAGCGGCGAACGGGUGAGUAACACGUGGGUGAUCUGCCUCGCACUCUGGGAUAAGCCUGGGAAAAUGGGUCUAAUACCGGAUAUGACCCCGAAUCGCAUGGUUUGUGGGGGAAAAGUUUACUGGUGCGAGAUGGGCCCGCGGCCUAUCAGCUUGUUGGUGGGGUAACGGCCUACCAAGGCGACGACGGGUAGCCGGCCUGAGAGGGCGACCGGCCACACUGGGACUGAGACACGGCCCAGACUCCUACGGGAGGCAGCAGUGGGGAAUAUUGCACAAUGGGCGAAAGCCUGAUGCAGCGACGCCGCGUGAGGGAUGACGGCCUUCGGGUUGUAAACCUCUUUCGACAGGGACGAAGCGCAAGUGACGGUACCUGUAGAAGAAGCACCGGCCAACUACGUGCCAGCAGCCGCGGUAAUACGUAGGGUGCGAGCGUUGUCCGGAAUUACUGGGCGUAAAGAGCUUGUAGGCGUUCUGUCGCGUCGAUCGUGAAAACGUGCAGCUCAACUGCGCGCCUGCGGUCGAUACGGGCAGACUAGAGUAUUUCCACGAGACUGGAAUUCCUGGUGUAGCGGUGAAAUGCACAAAAUAUCGGAAGAACCCCCGGGGGCAAAAGGGGGG
This 683-nucleotide ribosomal RNA is filed under the name Nocardia otitidiscaviarum. RNAcentral's name for it is "bacterial SSU rRNA". It matches the Rfam family "Bacterial small subunit ribosomal RNA", at positions 26 to 726 of the family's 1533-position model. The record is from RNAcentral. Lineage: Bacteria; Bacillati; Actinomycetota; Actinomycetes; Mycobacteriales; Nocardiaceae.